UACAGAGGUCCCGAGCGUUGUUCGGAUUCAUUGGGCGUAAAGGGUGCGUAGGCGGCGGGGUAAGUCUGAUGUGAAAUCCCGGGGCUCAACCCCGGAACUGCAUUGGAUACUGCCUUGCUUGAGUACUGGAGAGGAGACUGGAAUUUACGGUGUAGCAGUGAAAUGCGUAGAUAUCGUAAGGAAGGCCAGUGGCGAAGGCGAGUCUCUGGACAGUUACUGACGCUGAGGCACGAAGGCCAGGGGAGCAAACGGG
RNAcentral lists this ribosomal RNA (253 nucleotides) under uncultured bacterium. Its description in RNAcentral is "partial 16S ribosomal RNA". It matches the Rfam family "Bacterial small subunit ribosomal RNA", at positions 524 to 776 of the family's 1533-position model. The record is from RNAcentral.